This 361-nucleotide ribosomal RNA is filed under the name uncultured bacterium. Its description in RNAcentral is "bacterial SSU rRNA". It matches the Rfam family "Bacterial small subunit ribosomal RNA", at positions 28 to 372 of the family's 1533-position model. The record is from RNAcentral.
GAUGAACGCUGGCGGCGUGCCUAACACAUGCAAGUCGAACGUGAAAGUUAAGAUGAGGGCUUCGGUUUGAUUCUUGAUUGGAAAGUGGCGAACGGGUGAGUAACACGUAGGUGAUCUGCCUCGAAGUGGGGGAUAACCAUUGGAAACGAUGGCUAAUACCGCAUAGUUCUGUUGGUAUGGGAAUAUUGACAGGUAAAGCUCUGGCGCUUCGAGAGGAGCCUGCGUCCGAUUAGCUAGUUGGGGGGGUAAAGGCCCACCAAGGCGACGAUCGGUAGCUGGUCUGAGAGGACGAUCAGCCACACGGGAACUGAGACACGGUCCCGACUCCUACGGGGGGCAGCAGUGAGGAAUAUUGCACAAU